GACGUAGGGUGCAAGCGUUGUCCGGAAUUAUUGGGCGUAAAGAGUUCGUAGGCGGUUACCUAAGUCUGGUGUUAAAGACCGGAGCUCAACUCCGGCAUGGCAUCGGAAACUGGGUGGCUAGAGUGUGGUAGAGGUAUCGGGAAUUCCAGGUGUAGCGGUGAAAUGCGUAGAUAUCUGGAGGAACACCAGUGGCGAAAGCGCGAUACUGGGCCAUAACUGACGCUGAGGAACGAAAGCCAGGGUAGCAAAAGGG
Molecule: ribosomal RNA, 253 nt
Filed under: uncultured prokaryote
Description: partial 16S ribosomal RNA
Rfam family: Bacterial small subunit ribosomal RNA
Source: RNAcentral